RNAcentral lists this ribosomal RNA (193 nucleotides) under uncultured bacterium. RNAcentral's name for it is "partial 16S ribosomal RNA". It matches the Rfam family "Bacterial small subunit ribosomal RNA", at positions 338 to 523 of the family's 1533-position model. The record is from RNAcentral.
CCUACGGGAGGCAGCAGUGGGGAAUAUUGCACAAUGGGCGAAAGCCUGAUGCAGCCAUGCCGCGUGUGUGAAGAAGGCCCUAGGGUUGUAAAGCACUUUCAGUGGGGAGGAAAGGUUGAAGGUUAAUACCCUUCGGCUGUGACGUUACCCACAGAAGAAGCACCGGCUAACUCCGUGCCAGCAGCCGCGGUAA